This 750-nucleotide long non-coding RNA is filed under the name Sorghum bicolor (sorghum). RNAcentral describes it as "long non-coding RNA (SBIC_LNC017287)". The record is from RNAcentral. Lineage: Eukaryota; Viridiplantae; Streptophyta; Magnoliopsida; Poales; Poaceae.
GCAUUAAUGAUGUUAUGCCUCCUAUAGCUAAAGGUAUAUAUAUAGUAGAGCUUAUAGGAGUGCCAAUAAUAAGGAUAGGCAUACUUGUAAUGCAUGUAUUGUAAAGUCAACUAAUGGAUCCAUAGAGAAUCGAGGCAUACAAUCAAACCAAGAUGUGCAUGUGUAUGAAAUAUGGUGGAUAGGUGCAUUUUUGGUAUUUGUGGCUAAUUUCUAUUUUUUGGGAAUAGCUCUCUAUUGAAGCUUUUCAAGAAAGGCAUGGGCUAUCUUUAGUAUUUAUUUAUAUUCAGGGAGGCGGGCAUCUAGUACCCAUUGUUUUAAUUACUGGGACACUUGUCAUCUUUUACUCCCUCUUCUCUCUUCUUCUCUCUUUUUUUCUUCUCUUUUUUUAAUAGCUUUUUGCAUAGCCACAUGCAUCCUUUAAGUACAAUAAAUGAAUCAAGAGAUAUAAUCAGGACUUAGAGCAUUAAAGACAGGGGUUAUCCUAUAGGGAGAACAUGAGUGAUGAACAUGGAAUGGAAAUGAUUGCGAUUACUCCUAGUGUGGGAAUAAUGCAUAUGUGAACUGGAGUGUGUACGUGAUAUUGGUUUUAAAAGCAUGACAAGACUCUCAUAAGGUAUACAACAAAGGUUGACUGAACUCAAUGCAAAGCAAGCAGCAUAAAUGUAUGAAAGUUUUCCUAACUCUAAAUGGAUAUUAUAUAUGGCUUUGGUAGGAAAUCAAUCUUUGUCAACAAGAGCUCAUCAUGUAGGA